CAGUUACUUGGAUAACUGCGGUAAUUCUGGAGCUAAUACAUGCACAAAGCCCCGAACUUACGUGAGGGGCGCUUUUAUUAGAUCAAAACCAAACGGCUUCGGCUGUAUCCUUGGUGACUCUGAAUAACAUAGGGCUGAUCGCAUGGCCUAGCGCCGGCGACAUAUCCUUCGAAGGUGUGCCCUAUCAACUGUCGACUGUGGCAUAGACGCCCACAGUGGUUUUGACGGGUAACGGGGAAUCAGGGUUCGAUUCCGGAGAGGGAGCCUUAAAAACGGCUACCACAUCUAAGGAAGGCAGCAGGCACGCAAAUUACCCAAUGACCGAAGGUCGAGGUAGUGACAAAAAAUAACGAUACGGGACUCAUCUGAGGCCCCGUAAUCGGAAUGAGUACACUUUAAAACCGUCCCCGAGGAUCUAUU
RNAcentral lists this ribosomal RNA (420 nucleotides) under uncultured eukaryote. Its description in RNAcentral is "SSU rRNA". It matches the Rfam family "Eukaryotic small subunit ribosomal RNA", at positions 132 to 549 of the family's 1831-position model. The record is from RNAcentral.